UCUGGGAAUCCCACAAAUAUAAUCUUCUUCUAUUGAUGUUCUGAGGCAUACUUCCUGUAAACUAAACUUCAGCAAAAGGAGCACAAGACGGAACAUCAAAUUCAACAAUUCACACAAUGAAUACAUGAAUUUCAUAUUCACAUUCUUUAGGAGCCAUGCAUGGAUGCAAGAAAUUUAUGCUGGAAGUAAUCCUUAUAUUAAGAAGCAGGAAGUAAUAGUUAAGCCCUCAAUGUAUUUUGUUUAAAAUACGUAAUUAAAAUAUUCACAGUGCAGAAGUUGACAGAACAGAAUUAAGUCAUGCACUUAAAAUAUUUUUAGUUCACCUUGUCCAAUAAAGCCCUUAAAACUGAAAACUUUAAAAAAAAAAAAACCUCUACCAGAAGAUGUUAUGAAAUCAAGACACCGGUUAUCAUUACUGUUGGGCACACACUGGAAUAUACAUAUUGAAUUUCUCAGUCUCAUUAAUUGCAAAAAUAAAGGGACAUCAGAACAUGUACAUUGGACAAAUAUGUUCCCAAAGCAUGGUGGCUGAUCAGUCAGUCAUAUAAGAUAAAAGCAGGUUCCCUGUCCAUUUCUAUGGGACAGCAAUAAAUAACAUUGUUCAGUGGCCUGAAAGUAGCACAAGGAGGUAAGAGCCUGGGUAUUCUAUAUAGCACCUACACAGACUUUCCCUCCAUAGAACAUUCAAUUUCAGUUUCUACACAAAUAAGUAAUUUUGAGGCUUGAUUGUUAUCAGUAAAGCACUGCACAGUUGAAAAAUGUACCAAGCACCAAGUUACUAUUUUGAGUUGACUGAAACUCCAUAUUCAUUGGUUUUAACUAUUAUUUUUGACUGAUAACAGGAAAAAAAUUAUUAGACACAAUUAACUGUGAAAGCUGGCAGAUAUUUCCAUGCUGUCAAUCUAUUUGUGUGUAUAGCAGUUCCUGUUUUGCUCUACCCAUUUUUAUCCUCACUUUUUGUCUGAAAAAGAGUACAUUAACCUUUAUGGCAGUCCAUCCAACACAAGCAUGUUUCAAAGCUGCAAUAAGCUACUUCUUUAUAUUAGGCAAAGUUGAGUUUUUUGUAUCCUGAGCAUUCACUGUUGAAUGAUAGCUUGGUAGCAUCCGUAAGCCCUCACUUUCACAACAAGCAGGUAGGAAAUGGCAAACUGUUUCACCAGAUAAAGACUAAUUUAAUGACUGGAGUAUGAUUUUAAUUAUUCCUUGAAAAAAAUAAAAAUGCAUGGUUUUGUUGCAGUCUAAGGCUAUGAUAUAUUAGGAUGCAGACUGCCUAUCUUUUAGGAAUGUUUCUUUUGUGAGCGAUCGCUGCAGACCAA
This is a long non-coding RNA of Candoia aspera, 1316 nucleotides long. RefSeq lists it as uncharacterized. Lineage: Eukaryota; Metazoa; Chordata; Lepidosauria; Squamata; Candoiidae. The transcript is spliced from 2 exons. The record is from RefSeq and is a predicted model, not a curated record.